UUGAUUUUAAAUGGAGAUUGUCCCUCUCUAUCUAUAACACUUUAACUUGUAACGAAACCCAGUUAAAUUUGCUUUAUCUUGGAAUCAAAAUAGAUCUAUCCUUUUUAUCUCUAUGUUCUUCUGCUAAAAUGUUAGCUGAUUACUUGCCAAUGAAGAAUGAGAAUUCAUUAAUCAAAGAAAUACUCAUCAAUGAAUAGGAACAUAAGAACCCAUUUGUAUCUUUAACCCCUUUUCAUCUCUCCUAUUUCACUUUACUAUCACAAACGCAACGCUCUAUCUCUACUUUCAUUUUUAAACAAUCAUUUUUUCCUCUUUGUGUCAAAAUCUCAUAUCUUUUUCUCGUCCUCUUUACCAAACUCUCCAACACCAAACCAUGAGGACAUUCUCUGGCUUUGUGAAUAACAAUGGUGGCUUCAAGAGCAGCAGCGAUGGCUCCAGGAGCGCGAGUCUCUGCUUGCGAAAUUCAAUUGCUGAAGCUCCAAAUUCAAGCUCUAGAGAAACUAAUUUCGAUGCAAGAUCAUAUUUUGUGCCAGAUAUGAUAAUGAAUGUUAGGGCUUUGUUAUCGAUUUUGACGAAGAAGAAUCUCUAUAAAAUUUUUUCCGUCUUGUUUAUUCUCGAUUAAAAAGAGAGAGGGAUAGGACCCUGAGAUAUGGGUAAGGAUUUAUGGUCAAUUCUUGUUAACAGGGUCUUUAAUCCACGUGGCAAUCCAUGUGAAAUCCUAUUUGGCACCUAAUAAGUAAA
RNAcentral lists this long non-coding RNA (741 nucleotides) under Jatropha curcas. Its description in RNAcentral is "long non-coding RNA (JCUR_LNC000645)". The record is from RNAcentral. Lineage: Eukaryota; Viridiplantae; Streptophyta; Magnoliopsida; Malpighiales; Euphorbiaceae.